UUUUUUUAUUUCUAUUAUUUAGGGUUUAGGGUUUACUUUUUCCCCCAGUACUCAGCCAAGACCCUUCCUAGCCCUCUAAUUAAUGCCCCCUGAAUUAUAAGACUUUCCCCUCUGGCUCUCAGGCUCUCGGGAACAGGCUCUAUCUCCCAGUCUUGGGUGACUUCUGAGCACUGUUCCCUCUUGUAUUUUGAGUGGGUCUCUCCCAGCCUCAGGUAGUUCCCAGUUGAUGGAUGCUCAGCUGAAUGGUGGAGCAGUUUCCCUUCGCAGAUUCCACUCUGACUCUGCAGCUCUCAUUCCUAUGAAUUCUAGUCUCUAGGGAUUCACCCAGAUUCCCAGCUGUGUCCCCUUAAUUCAGGAAACUCUGGUCUGCCUGAAUCCCCCUACCCCUGUGCCAGGCCUAGAACUUUCUCCAAAGCAGUAUGUCAAGUCAGUCAUAAAACUCACCUUGUUUUUCUUCCCGUCUCUCAGGGAUCACUGCUUAUCGUUGCCUCGUGAGCAAUGUCUUAGGGCCACGUUUUGCUUUUUGCCUUUUGGUGUUAUUUGCGAUGGAGGGGUAAAUCCAGUCUCUGUUACUCCGUCUUAAUCAGAAGCAGAAGUUCCUGUCACCAGCGUUGGCACUGGGAUUCAUCAGGGCUGGCUCCGAGCUGGACUAGGAGGUUUUUCCUCUCUUACGCCAGGUGGCAUACCUGGCCCCAGGGCAGGGCUGAUCCUCCUGUGCUUGCAAGCUCUCAGGCACUGGGCACCGACCAGAGCAAUAGCCAGGAAGAGAAGGUAACCCACGCAGCCCAUGGGAAGUUGAACUGGGUUAUCUUAUUAUAACUGCGUCAACAAAAUGCUGGCUCACUGAGCUUUCCAGUGCCUUCCCCUCCUCCUGCCGUCCCAGCCGGGGUAGCUGACAGGCGCUGACCUCUUCUCCCGUUACCGGCCUCACCUGGCGGGGCUGGAAGGGCUUGGCACCUGCAGCCGCCCAGCUGGCAGCAUUAACUACUAACAAGAACAGUAAGAACUUCCUUUAUUGUACUUAUUUAUCUAUUUAUUUAUUUUGCUUUUUAGGGCCACACCUGUGGCAUAUGGACGUUCCCAGGUAAGUACGGAUAUUAUUCCCAUUUUACAGCUGGGGAAACUGAGAUUCGGAAACGCUGAGUAAUAAGCCCAAAGCCACACAGCCAGCAGAUCUGUCUCCCCAGCCUCUGCUCUGCCCACCAUAGCACUGCCGGCCUCCUCAUUCAUUCAUUCUUUGCUUCAUUCAUUUACUAAGCAUCUAGAGCCUCUCAGCUGGGCCAAGAAAUAGCUGGACCUACGGAAGACAGGGAAGCCUGAGGCCCUGGCCCAAGGAGAUCAUUAUCUGGGGAAAGAUAAGGCUCAAAUAAUUGUAAUCUCAGUGAUGAGAGCCAGGCCCUGAUGUGCCGCUGGGGCUGAGUCAGGUGACUGAGCAAAGGCUACGGGUCAGAGUUUUUGUUUGUUUGUUUGUUUGUUUUUAGUAGAGAGGCUAGAACUCACACCUACUACCUGGGUGAUCUUGGGCCCAUCAUUUCGCUUCUCUGAACCUCAGUUUUGGCUUUUAGAAAAGGGAGGGGAAAAAGACUCAUUGAGUGCUUGAGGGAAUUAAAUUAACUGGAAUAAUAUUGUAUUUCCUCCCUCAACAAAUAUGUACUGCAUCCCAGUGGGUGCCAGGUACCAUUUGGGGUGCUGGGGAUGCUAGAAGAAGCAGACAGCAGUGGUUCCCUGGGAACCACGGAUAGAUUUUUUUUUUCAGUUACAAUUUUUUUUUUUCAAUUGAAGCAUAGCAUGCACACAGAAAAGUGCAAAAAUUGGAACUGCCCAGCCCAAAGAGGUUUCAUAAACCAAACGCACCCAUAUAGCCUGACGACAAAAGAGGUGUGCGAAGUGAGGCUCCUGAGGAGAAUUUAAGGGGCUGCUGAAAAGCUCUGUAUUCAAGACAAAUCAAUGCUUUUAAAGCAACUUUUUUUUAAAAAAAUCAAAAUUUAUGCAAAAAAAAAUCCAUGAUGACAAAACAUCAAAUUUUUAAAUGAAGACAAGCUCAGUAACAGUGCUAUGUUGAGUCACAUUACAGCUCAAGGCAAAAGUUCCCUUUCCUUAUCAGGAAAGUUAAUCGUGCCUCGCCUAGUCCCAGCCCUGAUGCUCAGGCCCCCUCAUGGUCACUACCCUUCCUCUAAGGGUAACUACUAUCCAGAAUUCAAAUCCCAUAGAAAAGCGUUGCCUGUCUUUGGGCUCUGUCUACACGAAAGCCCUCUCCUGUGCAUAUAGCUUCUUUCACGCAACAUGUGUCUGCGAGCCGUAGCCACGUGGUUGCAUAUGCCACAGAAAGAUGUUCCAACAAGGAAACGAUGAUGCAGCGGCUGGGGGUGGCUGGGCGCUUGAGAGAAACCAGCGAGAUGGCAGGUGGGAGGAGGAAUGAGCAGAGCUAGAGCAGGGCCAGUGGGAUGGAGAGAAGGGGCUGGAGCCCAGGGCUGUUUUGGAAAGGGCAGAAUCCACAGGAUUAAGUGGACAUUAGGGAUGAGGGAGAGAGGAGUCAAGGAAGACGCCAGAUCCCUGGCCUGGGCCAGAGGAUGAUGACUUAAAGAUGGCGAGCGCCAGGCCCCAGUGGGGCAUCGCAAGGGCUGUCCUGGAGGUGGCAGGACAGAGGAGCCUGGCACAGGAGACGAUGCGGGACGGAAGUGUUCCUUCAGUAUCCCCCAGGGUCAGGGAGCAGAUGGUGGCCUGCUCCCUGAGGGGCGCCCGUGCAGGGGGCCGGGGAGUGGGGCACGUCGAAGGAUAACGAAGGGAAGCGAAACAGUUCUCUGAGAGAGGGUGGUGUGAACAGGUGUGCAAAUCAGAAUGAAAAUAUUGAACACACAAAACUGUCCCGCCUGGCCCAUCAGGCCUUCCAGGAGUCCAGCACCGAGUUAACCCGCCGGCUGGGAGGAUUCAGGUUGCCGAACAUCCUGCAGAUUAGGGGCUCCCCUGUCCCAGCCCCUGCCAGCCCCCCUUGCCCACUUGCAGCAGCGGCAGCUGACUCAGCAAAGCCUUUUCUCCUGGCUGCCAGAGACGCUUGCCUUUAAAGGCAAAAAAAAAAAAAAAAAAAAAAAA
This 3090-nucleotide long non-coding RNA is filed under the name Sus scrofa (pig). RNAcentral's name for it is "lncRNA (ENSSSCG00060049710.1)". Lineage: Eukaryota; Metazoa; Chordata; Mammalia; Artiodactyla; Suidae. The record is from RNAcentral.